Long non-coding RNA from Helianthus annuus (common sunflower), 1928 nucleotides. RefSeq lists it as uncharacterized. The record is from RefSeq and is a predicted model, not a curated record. Lineage: Eukaryota; Viridiplantae; Streptophyta; Magnoliopsida; Asterales; Asteraceae. The transcript has 7 exons.
UUCCCAUUAAAGUCAAUGGGAACAUUGUGCAAUAUGAGCCAUUGGAUGAAAAUGAGAUUAAAUCCUAGCCGUUAUAAUUAGGAAAAACCUUCUAGAAGGAGAGGUUUUUUUUGGUUAAUUUUGACCAAAGAAGGCCGUUUGCAGCAGUUAAGGGUUUCCUAUCUUCCGGGGAUUCAGUUCGCGUUGGUUUUAGACGACGCUCCAUGUUGUCCACUUCCCGUAAUUUAGCUGCAGUUGAAGACGGUUUUUGGGUUUGUACAAGAAUGCAGUUGUUAAAAGAGUGGGUAUAAAACUAGGUAUGAAACCUUUUCUUGCGUUCUUCUUCCUCUCUUCUCCCAGACUCCAGCAUAAAUACGAUUCACUGGUUUAAAUCGAUCGGUAUGAACAACAUCGAAAGUUUUUAGAGUUUUUUCAUCAAAAUCUACAGUAAAACGAGGAGAUUCAAACAGGGCUGUGUUGUACUUGGCUGGUAGUAAUACGACGAACUGGUGGUAUGUUCGAUGCCCUUUUCAUCACUGCCGACUUUGGUUUUUCGGUUGCCCCUCAUCCCUCCCGGGUCUAUUGAGCACAGAUUCGUGUAAAAAAUCCUUUGGAUGCUGUAAUUGAAGGGCGAAAUUGAAGCGUAACAGGUGAUGAGUUUCUGGGUUUAAGUUUUUAUGAACCGGGAAAAGCUUUAUAGUCUGCAAACAGUUUCUGUUCUCGUGAAUUAGAGAAAAUAGGCGAAGAACUUCACUUCACGUAUCAAGCAAUUUGUUUUCAAUUUGGAACAUUAAGCCAUUAAGGUUCUGUUCAUCAUAUAAAGAUAGACCACUAUUCAUCAAUCUACAAAUUUCGGACUAAAAGAACGAAGGUUGGAAGGAGAAGAAUACAUCUCCAUAGUGGACGAAUUGAUGGAAGCCCUUCAUACACGUUGUCCAAAAGCUCUUAUCUAGUUAGAAGAUUUACAAUCCAAGUGGGCUUUUGAGAUUCUUCAAAGAUACAUAAAGAAGUACAAGUCCAUUACUAAAUUUUCACCAAGAUUUGAUCUUUUUUUGUUCUGCAUGUUUUAAUUUGCAAUUGAAAUAAAGGAUUGCCAUGUUUUAAUAUGGUUAUUUAAUAAUUUUUGUAUUUGAUGUGAUGUGUUCUAGGUGUCUGAUGAAAUGUUAGAUAUGUUCAAAUGGAGCAAUUGUUUAAAUUCUCUUUGUUUUAUUUUUUUACGGUUAAUUGCCUCUUUUCUACUAAUAACUUGUACGCUUGUACACAAUUUGAGCAUAUGUAGAAUGCAUCAGCAGUAGAGUAUGUCUUUCGAUAGUGUCUCGCCUGGCUAUUAAGAAUGCCUCACUGCCGCUCAAUGGCAAAUUGACUGGAAUGGCUUUCGGUGUACCAACCGUGGAUGUCUCAUUUGUGGACUUAACCGUGAGAAUUGAGAAGGCGGCUACUUAUGAGCAGGGAGUAAUGAGAAGGCAAACUGAAGGGUAUUUUGGGAUAUGUGUGGUGGACGGUAUGUGUGUGGGUGAAGAUCCCGGUCCCGGAUGCAUCUACUUUGGUCGACCAGAUGAUUAAGUAUAGUCGUUUGAGUCUGGAUAUGGCAGGGAACGAAGGUGGGUCAUACACGCAAUCUUCCUUCUAAUCCGACGGAGGAUUUAGAACAGCCGCAAUGAGAGGGUGUUCAACCGGAAUUAUAAAAUGACCUCUGCAGUGGUGGAUGAGAUAAAAGAGUCCUGGUGGGCGACUAAAAUGCUCAGAAUCGGAAGUAUCAGGUCGACUAACUGGGCAGCUUCAGUGGGCUCGAUUUUGGCUAGGCUUUGUUGUCAGUUAGUUUUGGGGCCUUUCUGUUGUAUUGUUUUUUUCUUUUUGCUUUGUCUCUUCAACUGUCAUGAGUUCAAACUCGAUAAGUGACAAAUUGUUGCCUUUCUUAAUAGAAAAAUCAGCUGGUUCUGUUACUUCAA